AUGGAAGUGAUGCAUAUCCUUUGACCUGACCACAGUGAUGGUUUAUUGUAUUCAUACUGUCUGAUCCAU
Small nucleolar RNA from Varanus komodoensis (Komodo dragon), 69 nucleotides. Lineage: Eukaryota; Metazoa; Chordata; Lepidosauria; Squamata; Varanidae. The record is from Ensembl.